RNAcentral lists this ribosomal RNA (1498 nucleotides) under uncultured bacterium. Its description in RNAcentral is "bacterial SSU rRNA". It matches the Rfam family "Bacterial small subunit ribosomal RNA". The record is from RNAcentral.
AGAGUUUGAUCCUGGCUCAGGACGAACGUUGGCGGCGUGCUUAACACAUGCAAGUCGAGCGGUUGAGAGGUGGGAGGUGAGAGGUUAGACGUGGGAGAAAGGAACGGGUGAGUAACGCGUGGAUAAUCUGCCUGUAAGACAGGGAUAACGCCGGGAAACCGGUGCUAAUACCCGAUAACCUCUUUGGACCGCAUGGUUUGAAGAGAAAAGGUGGCCUCUUUACAAUGCUACCGCUUACAGAUGAAUCCGCGUCUGAUUAGUUAAGGCCUACCAAAGCAACGAUGCGUAGCCGACCUGAGAGGGUGAACGGCCACACUGGGACUGAGACACGGCCCAGACUCCUACGGGAGGCAGCAGUGAGGAAUUUUCCACAAUGGGCGCAAGCCUUAUGGAGCGACGCCGCGUGAGGGAUGACGGCCUUCGGGUUGUAAAGCUCUGUUGUAAGGGAAGAAAUGUUUGAUGGUACCUUGAGAGGAAGCCACGGCUAACUACGUGCCAGCAGCCGCGGUAAUACGUAGGUGGCAAGCGUUGUCCGGAAUUACUGGGCGUAAAGGGCGAGUAGGUGGUUUGCUAAGUCAAAAGUGAAAACUCCAGGCUCAACUUGGAGACUGCUUCUGAAACUGGUAGACUUGAGUGCAAGAGAGGGAAGUGGAAUUCCUAGUGUAGCGGUGAAAUGCGUAGAUAUGUGGAGGAACACCAGUGGCGAAGGCGACUCUUUGGCCGAAAACUGACACUGAGGCGCGAAAGCGUGGGGAUCAAACAGGAUUAGAUACCCUGGUAGUCCACGCCGUAAACGAUGAGUGCUAGGUGUAGGGGGUAUCGACUCCCUCUGUGCCGCAGUUAACGCAUUAAGCACUCCGCCUGGGGAGUACGGUCGCAAGACUAAAACUCAAAGGAAUUGACGGGGGCCCGCACAAGCAGCGGAGCAUGUGGUUUAAUUCGACGCAACGCGAAGAACCUUACCAGGGCUUGACAUCCUGUGACAGCUAUAGAAAUAUAGUCUUCUUAGUUUACUAAGACACAGAGACAGGUGGUGCAUGGUUGUCGUCAGCUCGUGUCGUGAGAUGUUGGGUUAAGUCCCGCAACGAGCGCAACCCUUGUAUUUAGUUGCUAACAAGUGGGGUUGAGCACUCUAGCUGAACUGCCGUUGACAAAACGGAGGAAGGUGGGGAUGACGUCAAAUCAUCAUGCCCCUUAUGUCUUGGGCUACACACGUGCUACAAUGGCCAGUACAGACGGAAGCGAAGCCGCGAGGUGGAGCCAAACCGAGAAAGAGGGCCCUCAGUUCAGAUUGUAGGCUGCAACUCGCCUACAUGAAGUCGGAAUCGCUAGUAAUCGCAGGUCAGCAUACUGCGGUGAAUACGUUCCCGGGCCUUGUACACACCGCCCGUCACACCACGAAAGUUGGCAACACCCGAAGCCGGUGACUUAACCCGUAAGGGAGAGAGCCGUCGAAGGUGGGGUUAGUAAUUGGGGUGAAGUCGUAACAAGGUAACCC